AUGGAAAACAUCGGUCUGUCCAUCCAUCCAUCCAACCCACCGCAGCCCCCCUCUCUCUCUCACGCGCGCGUGAACCCUAGCCGACCCAGACCCCUCCCCGCCUCCGCUCCACUCCCCGAUCCAGAUCCCUCCCCCACCGCCCCGUCCUCCCCUUCCUUCUGCCGCUGCCCCGUCCUCCCCUUUCUUUCGCCGCCCACGUCUCCCCUCUCCCUCCAUGGCUGCAGAUCCACUAAAGCUCCUCCCACUGCCGACACCCAACCCCACCCAACCGGCGACCGUCUCCCCCAACCCCAUCACCACCGUGACCUCCCUCCCUCACUCCCUAGCUCUCCCUCCCUUAGGUCCGUCCGACCCAUGGGCGGAUGAGGGCCGAAGCCCUAGCCCUUCACCCACCCACCAAUGGAUGGAUGGGGACGGGGCAAUGAUGGCGCGGUGGCGGAGACCUCCAUGGCGAACGCGGGCCGGCAGCCGGCCAUCUCCGCCAAGCCCGACCUGCUGGCGGCUCUGCUCACGGGUCGGGCCCCGCCGGCGGAGGAAGGAGAGCACAGCCGCCGCUUGUACAUCGGACGAUCCCGUCUACGAGUUCAUCACCUCCGACACCGUCUACAGCCCGCAGGUGUCGUGCUGGCGACCGGGACCGGUUCGGAGCGCUCGGAUCGAAGGUGGCCGAGCACUGGUACGAGCUCUACAAGAUGGACAAGCAUGGGGCCAACACUGGAAGGAAAUGAUGUGGUUGUAUCAGUUUCAGCAUGAUGAUUCUCAUCAACUUGCACCUGAUCAUAGUCCAGUAAAAUGCAUGACAGUGUUUUGUCUUGGAAAUUUGCAGUUUUUUAGUGUGCAUAGCGUGUUCUGCACAAUCAGAAAGUAAUUUUAAGCCAGUAGUAGGUGUUCUGCAGUUGGUUAUUCAUGGUAGUAAAUUCAGUAGACAACUAGCUAAGCUCAUGGCCUCAUGGCUUGAGCUGGAAUGGGCAUCAUGGGGCAUUAGUCAACUGUGCAACCUAAGAAUGUUUACUGUUAAUGUUGCAUUGUCAUUUACUAAUUCAAUUUGUUUUCUUGCUUUUGGCUGAAUAAACUCUUUGCAGAUAACUUUUGUGGGGGACCGGACGGUGGUGCAGAUGUACAAGUUCCUCAAGAAGCACGCUGCCGUCCCUUUCAACUCUGAUGCAGCCGCGGCUGGCUGUGCUUCUGCCUCGGCCGGCUGUGCUUCUGCCUCGGCUACAAACUGCCUAGGGGCCAGAGAGUUAGCCCAGUCCUGACUAUGGGUCCAGUGAGUCUGGCAUUUGAUCACUAUGGAAGGAGCUCCAUGAUGAAGAAGAAAACACUUGUAGAGCUUGUAACUAUGAUUCCCAUACUUGUAUAUGUUACAGCUUCUAUUACUUGUCAUUUGUAGAGCUUGUACUGAAUCUGGCUAUUGUAAUUAGAAGUAUUAUGUGUUCUUGCUUGCCAAUUUAAAUACUGGUUAUUUUUUUAGUGUCAAAUUGAAAUAUGAAG
RNAcentral lists this ribosomal RNA (1491 nucleotides) under Triticum aestivum (bread wheat). RNAcentral's name for it is "partial small subunit ribosomal RNA". Lineage: Eukaryota; Viridiplantae; Streptophyta; Magnoliopsida; Poales; Poaceae. The record is from RNAcentral.